This 747-nucleotide long non-coding RNA is filed under the name Selaginella moellendorffii. RNAcentral's name for it is "long non-coding RNA (SMOE_LNC000958)". The record is from RNAcentral. Lineage: Eukaryota; Viridiplantae; Streptophyta; Lycopodiopsida; Selaginellales; Selaginellaceae.
CCGCCGCCGCCAUGGUUUGUGGAAGUUCUCCAGGAAGGAGAAAGAGGUGCAACCUUAUAAGAGAAGAUGGCUGCACACACAGUGGAUGGUGGGUGAAUGAGCUCUCUCAAAUAGUAUGCGGAACUCACAGGGAUUGGUAACCGGACCGGCCAACUGCUUUCACAGGAUGGAACUUUGCGGGCAGCUAAAGACAAUGAUUAGCCGCUGCGGCUCAUUUAUCUCAAAAUGGCCAGACAUCCUCGCUCCAAACAGGAGCAAAAGGUGGGACGAAGCGCCAUUUAUACAUGCGCAGCUGAGUGGAAGCUAGAGGCGAUAUCGGAAUGUCAAUGCAGAGCAGGAAACAGAACGGGCAAAGUUAGAAGAAAAAAAAGGAUGGGCAGCAGAAGCAAGAAACAAAAAUCAUCAACCGGGAAGCGGAAGUAGAAGUGGGGCUACAGUAAAUGACAACAGAACAUCGCUGUGAUGCAACUAAAGACAGGCACAGGGGAAGGCAGGCUUUACGCUCAGUCUGGGAUUUAUAUACAUAUGUGGAUCAUGGAGGCGGCAGGCACAGUGAGGAUCAGAAUGGAGGCGGUCCUUUGUGCUGAUAAAAGUCCAAACCACUCGAGAGGGAGCAUCUACAGAUUUGCGACAAACACUUCACAAAGAGGAGCGGGAACAGGAACAAGCUUCAUAUGGGACCUGUUCAUCGGCCAGUGGCGAGAGCAUUAUUUGCGGUGGAUGAAGGUAACAAAGCGCCUGACUCUC